This 119-nucleotide small nucleolar RNA is filed under the name Castor canadensis (American beaver). RNAcentral describes it as "Small nucleolar RNA SNORA65 (ENSCCNG00000003161.1)". Lineage: Eukaryota; Metazoa; Chordata; Mammalia; Rodentia; Castoridae. The record is from RNAcentral.
ACUUCCACUGCACCUGACCAGUUUUCUGUUCACUGGUACAAUCCAGUGGUGAGCUGAUAGUAAACCCCAGCUUUUAGUUAACAGGGUAUUCUUCACGUGCCAAAAGCAUAGAAACAGCC